AACGAACGCUGGCGGCGUGGAUUAGGCAUGCAAGUCGAACGCGAAAGGGUCUUUCGGGAUCCGAGUAGAGUGGCAAACGGGUGAGUAACGCGUGGGAAACCUGCCCUUAUGAUGGGGAUAACACUUCUAACGAGGUGCUAAUACCGAAUACGAUCAUAUGGUCGCAUGGCCAUAUGAUGAAAAGGCGGCCUCUGCUUGCAAGCUGUCGCAUAAGGAUGGUCCCGCGUCCCAUUAGCUAGUUGGUGAGGUAACGGCCCACCAAGGCGAUGAUGGGUAGCCGGCCUUAGCGGGUGUCCGGCCACACUGGGACUGAGAUACGGCCCAGACUCCUACGGGAGGCAG
Molecule: ribosomal RNA, 342 nt
Filed under: uncultured Latescibacterota bacterium
Lineage: Bacteria; Pseudomonadati; Candidatus Latescibacterota
Description: bacterial SSU rRNA
Rfam family: Bacterial small subunit ribosomal RNA
Source: RNAcentral